Molecule: long non-coding RNA, 362 nt
Organism: Megalopta genalis
Lineage: Eukaryota; Metazoa; Arthropoda; Insecta; Hymenoptera; Halictidae
Source: RefSeq, a predicted model, not a curated record
GCAAUUAGAGGGCGACCAAGCGUGGGUGGUCAAUGAUUCAGUGGUAUACUACACCGACAACAUCAUAGAGUGCCCGAUGGAAACGUACCCCAGAAAAGCUGGGCCGGUGUCAAGCUUCCCGGAGUCAGUACUGCAGUUUUGUUCAGGACCCAUCUCCACUGAUAAAAAAGAUAUCAGCAUGGGUCUCAAAAGUCCAACCUUACCUUCUAGAAUCUACUUCAAGUAUCGGUGGGAACCAGGCAACGUCGUGCUCCUGCAAAUCAAUGAUAACGGCCCUUUUUUGGGCCUCGAAUUCACUAGAACCUUAUUCAGUCCAGAAGUGGGAACAUCAAUGCUCGAAUAAAAUACAAUUCUCUCUAUUA